CGAGGGGAGUGAAAAAGAACCUGAAACCGUGUACGUACAAGCAGUGGGAGCACCCUUUGGGGUGUGACUGCGUACCUUUUGUAUAAUGGGUCAGCGACUUAUAUUCUGUAGCAAGGUUAACCGAAUAGGGGAGCCGGAGGGAAACCGAGUCUUAAUUGGGCGUUAAGUUGCAGGGUAUAGACCCGAAACCCGGUGAUCUAGCCAUGGGCAGGUUGAAGGUUGGGUAACACUAACUGGAGGACCGAACCGACUAAUGUUGAAAAAUUAGCGGAUGACCUGUGGCUGGGGGUGAAAGGCCAAUCAAACCGGGAGAUAGCUGGUUCUCCCCGAAAGCUAUUUAGGUAGCGCCUCGUGAAUUCAUCUCCGGGGGUAGAGCACUGUUUCGGCUAGGGGGCCAUCCCGGCUUACCAACCCGAUGCAAACUGCGAAUACCGGAGAAUGUUAUCACGGGAGACACACGGCGGGUGCUAACGUCCGUCGUGAAGAGGGAAACAACCCAGACCGCCAGCUAAGGUCCCAAAGUCAUGGUUAAGUGGGAAACGAUGUGGGAAGGCCCAGACAGCCAGGAUGUUGGCUUAGAAGCAGCCAUCAUUUAAAGAAAGCGUAAUAGCUCACUGGUCGAGUCGGCCUGCGCGGAAGAUGUAACGGGGCUAAACCAUGCACCGAAGCUGCGGCAGCGACGCUGAUGCGUUGUUGGGUAGGGGAGCGUUCUGUAAGCCUGCGAAGGUGUGUCGUGAGGCAUGCUGGAGGUAUCAGAAGUGCGAAUGCUGACAUAAGUAACGAUAAAGCGGGUGAAAAGCCCGCUCGCCGGAAGACCAAGGGUUCCUGUCCAACGUUAAUCGGGGCAGGGUGAGUCGACCCCUAAGGCGAGGCCGAAAGGCGUAGUCGAUGGGAAACGGGUUAAUAUUCCCGUACUUGGUGUUACUGCGAAGGGGGGACGGAGAAGGCUAUGUUGGCCGGGCGACGGUUGUCCCGGUUUAAGCGUGUAGGUGUGUGUUCCAGGUAAAUCCGGUUCACUUUAACACUGAGGCGUGAUGACGAGGCACUACGGUGCUGAAGCAACAAAUGCCCUGCUUCCAGGAAAAGCCUCUAAGCAUCAGGUAACAUCAAAUCGUACCCCAAACCGACACAGGUGGUCAGGUAGAGAAUACCAAGGCGCUUGAGAGAACUCGGGUGAAGGAACUAGGCAAAAUGGUGCCGUAACUUCGGGAGAAGGCACGCUGACACGUAGGUGAAGUGAUUUACUCAUGGAGCUGAAGUCAGUCGAAGAUACCAGCUGGCUGCAACUGUUUAUUAAAAACACAGCACUGUGCAAACACGAAAGUGGACGUAUACGGUGUGACGCCUGCCCGGUGCCGGAAGGUUAAUUGAUGGGGUCAGCGCAAGCGAAGCUCCUGAUCGAAGCCCCGGUAAACGGCGGCCGUAACUAUAACGGUCCUAAGGUAGCGAAAUUCCUUGUCGGGUAAGUUCCGACCUGCACGAAUGGCGUAAUGAUGGCCAGGCUGUCUCCACCCGAGACUCAGUGAAAUUGAACUCGCUGUGAAGAUGCAGUGUACCCGCGGCAAGACGGAAAGACCCCGUGAACCUUUACUAUAGCUUGACACUGAACAUUGAGCCUUGAUGUGUAGGAUAGGUGGGAGGCUUUGAAGUGUGGACGCCAGUCUGCAUGGAGCCGGCCUUGAAAUACCACCCUUUAAUGUUUGAUGUUCUAACGUGGACCCGUGAUCCGGGUUGCGGACAGUGUCUGGUGGGUAGUUUGACUGGGGCGGUCUCCUCCUAAAGAGUAACGGAGGAGCACGAAGGUUGGCUAAUCCUGGUCGGACAUCAGGAGGUUAGUGCAAUGGCAUAAGCCAGCUUGACUGCGAGCGUGACGGCGCGAGCAGGUGCGAAAGCAGGUCAUAGUGAUCCGGUGGUUCUGAAUGGAAGGGCCAUCGCUCAACGGAUAAAAGGUACUCCGGGGAUAACAGGCUGAUACCGCCCAAGAGUUCAUAUCGACGGCGGUGUUUGGCACCUCGAUGUCGGCUCAUCACAUCCUGGGGCUGAAGUAGGUCCCAAGGGUAUGGCUGUUCGCCAUUUAAAGUGGUACGCGAGCUGGGUUUAGAACGUCGUGAGACAGUUCGGUCCCUAUCUGCCGUGGGCGCUGGAGAACUGAGGGGGGCUGCUCCUAGUACGAGAGGACCGGAGUGGACGCAUCACUGGUGUUCGGGUUGUCAUGCCAAUGGCACUGCCCGGUAGCUAAAUGCGGAAGAGAUAAGUGCUGAAAGCAUCUAAGCACGAAACUUGCCCCGAGAUGAGUUCUCCCUGAGACUUAGAGUCUCCUGAAGGAACGUUGAAGACGACGACGUUGAUAGGCCGGGUGUGUAAGCGCAGCGAUGCGUUGAGCUAACCGGUACUAAUGAACCGUGAGGCUUAACCUUACAACGCCGAA
RNAcentral lists this ribosomal RNA (2428 nucleotides) under Salmonella enterica subsp. enterica. Its description in RNAcentral is "partial 23S ribosomal RNA". It matches the Rfam family "Bacterial large subunit ribosomal RNA", at positions 530 to 2925 of the family's 2925-position model. Lineage: Bacteria; Pseudomonadati; Pseudomonadota; Gammaproteobacteria; Enterobacterales; Enterobacteriaceae. The record is from RNAcentral.